GAUGAAGAACGUAGCGAAAUGCGAUAAGUAAUGUGAAUUGCAGAAUUCAGUGAAUCAUCGAAUCUUUGAACGCACAUUGCGCCCCUUGGUAUUCCGAGGGGCAUGCCUGUUCGAGCGUCAUUAUAACCCCUCAAGCUCAGCUUGGUGUUGGGGCCUGCUGCACUGGCAGCCCUUAAAAUCAGUGGCGGCGCCAUCUGGCUCUAAGCGUAGUAAUUCUUCUCGCUAUGGAGUCCUGGUGGAUGCUUGCCAUCAACCCCCAAUUUUUCUAUGGUUGACCUCGGAUCAGGUAGGGAUACCCGCUGAACCUAAGCAUAUCAAUAAGCGGAGGA
This 329-nucleotide unclassified non-coding RNA is filed under the name soil metagenome. Its description in RNAcentral is "partial contains 5.8S ribosomal RNA, internal transcribed spacer 2, and large subunit ribosomal RNA". The stretch from base 1 to 120 matches the Rfam family "5.8S ribosomal RNA", at positions 35 to 154 of the family's 154-position model. The record is from RNAcentral.